UUCUAUGAUGUGGCAGCCAAAAAAGCUUAGGCAGUCCUGGGCAGAGUGGUGUGGUGAUCAUCCCCACUGUACAUUGCUUUUUUCAGACCUCACUUGGAAUGUCUUAUUUAGUUGUGGGUAUUAUUGAUAAGCUGGGCAGUGUUCAGACAGCCAGCUAAGACGGAAAAGGACCUGGACUCCCUGUCAUUGGAAGAUCUGUGAAAGGACUUGUGCAUUUUUUGCUUGGAAGAGAAAAAAGACCCAAGUUUGAAUCCUGACUCAGUUACUUACUUUCUGUGUGACCCUUGGCAGUUUCCGGUUGCUGGCUUCACAUUUCCAACUGAGGGAGUUAGGAGGAGAAGAAUGAGGAAAAGGAGGAGAAGAAAGGGGAGGAGGAGGAGGAGAAGGAGGAGCAAGAGCGGUCAGCAAUCCUCUGAGGACUCAAUCUAAAAACCUGGUAAGACUUCUGUGAAUUGGUGCA
Phascolarctos cinereus (koala) is the source of this 460-nucleotide non-coding RNA. Lineage: Eukaryota; Metazoa; Chordata; Mammalia; Diprotodontia; Phascolarctidae. The record is from RefSeq and is a predicted model, not a curated record.